UUCGGGAAAGUCGCUGUGUGGGCUGAAGCGCUUCGUGCUUGCAGAAUAUUCUCCACGUAUUUACAAGACAGGACUCCAGUGAAGCGACACAGUUCUUACAGUCUGUUCUUAGAGACCACAGGAAAGUGAAAGCCAUGCUUGGAGGGGCGUGGCACUGGUCGCACUGUCAGCCGUAUCCAUAAGAAUAAUAGUGAUCAUCAUCAUCAUCAUCACCACCGUCACUAUGUCCAAUCUAGUACUACUAAUGAUACUAAUCCAUCGAUCCGUCCAUCUCUUCUCUUCCGCUUAUUCAAUUCCGGGAAGCUGUUGAGAACCCACGCAGACACGAGAGAAUGCAAACUCAAUCACAAGGGCCGUGGCCAGAUGGUGGAUUCAAACCUAGGAUAUUCUUCCUGUGCGAUGAUGAACUGUUGUGGUCUGCUAACACUCCAGAAGGAACCAGUUCCUCUGAAGAGCAUUGAGGUGGAGCUGGAGGUGAGGGACCAUGCGGCUACAGUGGUCUCCACUCUGAACUACGAAAACAAGGAGGACAAACCAUUAGAGGCUGUUUUUGUCUUCCCUCUGCCUGGAGAUGCUGCUGUCUGUCAUUUCAGUGCUCAGGUUGGACAGACACAGAUUGUAGCUGAGGUGAAGGAGAAACAGAAGGCUCGUGAGGAGUAUGAUGAUGCUCUGAGCUCCGGUCAGCAGGCCUUCCUAUUGGAGGAGAGUGAUGAGAGUCCAGAUAUAUUCUCUCUGAGUGUGGGCAGUCUGCCUCCAGGAGAGAGCGCCUCCAUCAGGUUGGAGUACGUCAUUGAGCUGGCUGUGCAGGCUGAUGAUGGUCUGAGGUUCUGUCUGCCUGCUGUGCUCAACCCUCGAUACCAACCUCAGGGUAGUGAAGGUGCAGGUGUCCAGGUGACCUCUGUUCCAGCCUCUCUGGUGCCCUACAGUCUGUCUUUUUCUGCCCGAGUCUCCUCUCCUCGUCCAAUCUCUAAAGUAGAGUCCAACUGUUCCCUGGAGCCUCUGCAGUACCUCAACACUGAUCAAACCCAGGCCACGGUCAAGCUGGCUGCAGGACACAAGUUUGACAGAGAUGUUGAACUGCUGAUUUAUUACAAAGACGCCCACCAGCCCACUGCUGUGGUGGAGGCAGGACAGGCCUCUGCUGAGCCGGGCUCUCUGAUGGGUGAUCCAGUGGUGAUGGUGAGUCUGUACCCUGAGUUCCCCCAGUCUGUGAUGUCUUCAAUGGCUUCAAGUGGAGAGUUUGUAUUUCUAUUGGAUCGAUCUGGAAGCAUGAGUAAUACUCGGAUCAGCAGUGCCAAGGAUACUCUGCUCCUCCUGUUGAAGAGCUUACCAAUGGGCUGCUAUUUCAACAUUUACAGUUUUGGGUCCAGAUAUGAACACAUUUUCUCUAAGAGUGUGGAGUACAGCCAGAAGACCAUGGAGGAGGCUCUGAAGAAAGUUGAGGAGAUGGAGGCUGAUCUUGGAGGAACAGAGAUCCUGGAGCCCCUCAAACAUAUUUACAGCCAGCCCUGCAUUCAAAAUCAGCCUAGACAGCUCUUUGUCUUUACUGAUGGAGAGGUGUGGAACACCAAAGAAGUGAUCGAUCUGGUGAAGAAGAACUCAGGCUCCCACAGGUGUUUCUCUUUUGGGAUUGGGGAAGGGGCCAGCUCUGCUCUCAUCAAUGGGAUGGCCAAGGAAGGAGGAGGUCACGCUCAGUUCAUCACAGGGACUGACAGGAUGCAACCAAAAGUGAUGCAGUCGCUGCGAUUUGCUCUGCAGCCAGCUGUGGUCGACAUCUCAGUCACAUGGGAUUUACCAAAGGAAGUGUCUGUCACUGUCCUCUCUCCACCAAUCACAGCACUUUUCCAGGGUCAGAGGUCACUGAUUUAUGCCCAGCUCACUGGACAGAGCUCAGAGGCAGCAGAGGGCUGUGUGACGCUGAAGUACAGCCUGGCAGGUCAUCCCUCUGAGAACCAGCUGCACUUCAGUCUCAGACCUGCAGAGGACACUGGACUAACAGUCCACAGGUUGGGUGCUCGGACUCUGAUUCGUUCUCUGGAGAUGGAGGAGAGAGAAAACAGAGGACAGCAAGAUGGAGGAGUGAAGGAGAAGGUGGUGCAGCUCAGUGUCCAAUCAGGAGUGAGCAGUUCUUUCACUGCCUUCAUUGCUGUCAACAAAGACAACGGAGAGGCGAUCCAAGCACCUCUUGUCCAGAGAAAUAUUCCAAUGUUCCAACAUAUGGUUCCAUACCUAGUAAUGGACAGGGAUUUCUCUUUACAAGAAGAUAAAGAAAUCCCAGAAAGCUCAUCAACCUCAGACCACAGGUGAUACCCAGCAGAAGCUACGCAAAGUCUGUAGGGUUCAAAGAAGAUACAUAAACAGGUGUACCUUUAAGACCCACUAUCUGUAUGAUCAACUCAGCCACCUAUAACAUCUCAUAGUUUCUGGCUUUGGUCUUCAACCCGUUGGUAGACAGCUCUAAACACCACAGCCACACCGCAUCCAGAACUCCUUGGAUUUUGUUUAAGGUGAAAGCUGUCAAUAUGGAGGCACAUACAAGGCUGAGCUGGUGAGUCCAAUCACUGCACCUCAGAUGGUCGUCAUUAACUUGAGGAACCGUCAACUGAGCAGCAGCCAUCUGGACUCCAUGUCCCCCCUGGUCCUCACUCUUUACCAUAACCUGGUGACGGGGUCCAAGGACUUUCCUCACAUAUUGUUUAAAGGAUUGUUCCACCGGGACCAGGUGACGACACCAUUUGUCCAUGUGAGGCAGAGCCAGAGAGAGAACACCACUCCUUCUCCUCCUACGGACUCCCCAGCUGGCAUGAUGCUGCCGCCUGCGGGCUCCAGCUCUCAUCCACGCUUCCUGACUCCAGUUCUUCCAGAGAAAGCGGAUCUUGCUGUGCUGAAGGCAGAUCGGAGGAACUGCGUCCGCACCCUGACUGUCGACGGCCUCCCCGUCACCAGAGUCAUCUCCACUGUUUACCGAACAGAGGACACUGAGAUGACGAACCGCUGGAGAAUAACAGACUACAGCGCAGACGGCAGAGUUCUCACAUCGGUGCUCUGCCGUUUUCUAAAUACGUCGGCAAAGCGUGCUAAGAGGAAGGCUCCGGAGGAAGAGAGCAGCAUCCGGAGCCCGACUCCAGCAAGGAAGCGCUUGAGAAUAUAAUAUACAGUGAAGCAUGUCGAACGUCAGCAAGCCUGAACAAAGUGUCAGGAAAAAGAGUCACGCUGCGAAGAAACACCACACAGAAGCUUUUCCCUCAGUACAAUGACAACUGAGGGUCUUCAGAGCAGCGUGAACGGCCGUCACCUGAGAGCAAGACAGUCCUCGGGCCUUCCCUCCAGACUGGCCACCUGUCCAGGUUGUACCCC
This is an RNA transcript of Oreochromis aureus, 3357 nucleotides long. It is a transcript of the gene named von Willebrand factor A domain-containing protein 5A-like, with no coding region annotated. Lineage: Eukaryota; Metazoa; Chordata; Actinopteri; Cichliformes; Cichlidae. The record is from RefSeq and is a predicted model, not a curated record. The transcript has 22 exons.